Molecule: ribosomal RNA, 610 nt
Filed under: Bacillus sp. (in: firmicutes)
Lineage: Bacteria; Bacillati; Bacillota; Bacilli; Caryophanales; Bacillaceae
Description: bacterial SSU rRNA
Rfam family: Bacterial small subunit ribosomal RNA
Source: RNAcentral
AUGGGAGCUCUGCUCCCUGAUGUUAGCGGCGGACGGGUGAGUAACACGUGGGUAACCUGCCUGUAAGACUGGGAUAACUCCGGGAAACCGGGGCUAAUACCGGAUGGUUGUUUGAACCGCAUGGUUCAAACAUAAAAGGUGGCUUCGGCUACCACUUACAGAUGGACCCGCGGCGCAUUAGCUAGUUGGUGAGGUAACGGCUCACCAAGGCAACGAUGCGUAGCCGACCUGAGAGGGUGAUCGGCCACACUGGGACUGAGACACGGCCCAGACUCCUACGGGAGGCAGCAGUAGGGAAUCUUCCGCAAUGGACGAAAGUCUGACGGAGCAACGCCGCGUGAGUGAUGAAGGUUUUCGGAUCGUAAAGCUCUGUUGUUAGGGAAGAACAAGUACCGUUCGAAUAGGGCGGUACCUUGACGGUACCUAACCAGAAAGCCACGGCUAACUACGUGCCAGCAGCCGCGGUAAUACGUAGGUGGCAAGCGUUGUCCGGAAUUAUUGGGCGUAAAGGGCUCGCAGGCGGUUUCUUAAGUCUGAUGUGAAAGCCCCCGGCUCAACCGGGGAGGGUCAUUGGAAACUGGGGAACUUGAGUGCAGAAGAGGAGAGUGGA